This 1337-nucleotide ribosomal RNA is filed under the name uncultured bacterium. RNAcentral describes it as "bacterial SSU rRNA". It matches the Rfam family "Bacterial small subunit ribosomal RNA", at positions 27 to 1393 of the family's 1533-position model. The record is from RNAcentral.
GGGUGAACGCUGGCAGUGUGCCUAAUGCAUGCAAGUCGAGCGGUCUCGGCGCAAGCCGGGGCAGCGGCGAAAGGCUGAGCAAUACACAGGGAACCUGCCCUAUGGUGGGGGACAACCCCGGGAAACUGGGGCUAAUACCGCAUACGUCCUUCUAUCACAAGGUGGAAGGAGAAAGCCGCAAGGCGCCGAAGGAUGGUCCUGUGUCCCAUCAGGUAGUUGGCGGGGUAGCGGCCCACCAAGCCGACGACGGGUAGCUGGUCUGAGAGGACGGCCAGCCAGAGGGGGACUGAGACACGGCCCCCACUCCUACGGGAGGCAGCAGCAAGGAAUCUUGGGCAAUGGGCGAAAGCCUGACCCAGCGACACUGCGUGGGGGAAGAAGGCCUUCGGGUCGUAAACCCCUUUUCCUGGGGAAGAGUAAGGACGGUACCCAGGGAAUAAGUCCCGGCUAACUACGUGCCAGCAGCCGCGGUAAGACGUAGGGGACGAGCGUUACCCGGAAUUACUGGGCGUAAAGGGCGUGUAGGCGGCGGGGCAUGUCCCGUGUGAAAUUGAAGGGCUUAACUCUUCAACGUCGCGGGAAACGGUCUCGCUUGAGGGCCAGUAGAGGCGGGUGGAAUUCCCGGUGGAGCGGUGAUAUGCGUAGAGAUCGGGAGGAACACCGGUGGCGAAGGCGGCCCGCUGGGCUGUCCCUGACGCUGAGGCGCGAAAGCGUGGGGAGCAAACCGGAUUAGAUACCCGGGUAGUCCACGCCUUAAACGGUGGAUGCUAGGUAUGGGAGGUAUCGACCCCUUCCGUGCCGCAGUUUACGCGUUAAGCAUCCCGCCUGGGGAGUACGGCCGCAAGGCUAAAACUCAAAGGAAUUGACGGGGGCCCGCACAAGCGGCGGAGCGUGUGGUUUAAUUCGAUGCAAAGCGAAGGACCUCACCUGGGUUGGACAUGCCACAAGUAGGAACCUGAAAGGGGGACGACUCGUCAAGGCGAGAGGUGGCGAAGGUGCUGCAUGGCUGUCGUCAGCUCGUGUCGUGAGAUGUUGGGUUAAGUCCCGCAACGAGCGCAACCCCUGUCCUGUGUUGAGUUCUCACAGGAGACUGCCCCCCACAAGGGGGAGGAAGGUGGGGAUGACGUCAAGUCCGCAUGGCCCUCAUGCCCAGGGCAACACACACGCUACAAUGGGUAGGACAAAGGGUUGCCAACCCGCAAGGGGGAGCUAAUCCCAUCAAACCUACCCCCAGUUGGGAUCGGAGGCUGCAACUCGCCUCCGUGAACUCGGAGUCGCUAGUAACCGCAGGUCACGCACACUGCGGUGAAUACGUUCUCGGGCCUUGUACACACCGC